Molecule: ribosomal RNA, 381 nt
Filed under: uncultured eukaryote
Lineage: Eukaryota
Description: partial 18S ribosomal RNA
Rfam family: Eukaryotic small subunit ribosomal RNA
Source: RNAcentral
CAAUAGCGUAUAUUAAAGUUGUUGCAGUUAAAAAGCUCGUAGUUGGAUUUCUGGUUGAAGCGACCGGUCGGGCGUUGAUUCGUCUGCACUGGAGUCGGUUUUGGCCAUCCUCUAGGAAAGUGCGUCUGGUAUUAAGUUAUCGGGCGUAUGAUCCUGGUCUUUUACUGUGAAAAAAUUAGAGUGUUUAAAGCAGGCCUUCGCCUUGAAUACAUUAGCAUGGAAUAAUAAGAUAGGACUUUGGUCUAUUUUGUUGGUUUGCAGACCGAAGUAAUGAUUAAUAGGGAUAGUUGGGGGUAUUUAUAUUCCGAUGUCAGAGGUGAAAUUCUUAGAUUUUCGGAAGAUAAACUUAUGCGAAAGCAUUUACCAAGGAUGUUUUCAAUA